Molecule: unclassified non-coding RNA, 221 nt
Filed under: uncultured Ceratobasidium
Lineage: Eukaryota; Fungi; Basidiomycota; Agaricomycetes; Cantharellales; Ceratobasidiaceae
Description: partial internal transcribed spacer 2
Source: RNAcentral
AAUUCUCAAAAUAAAUCUUUUGUUAAUUCAAUUGGUUUCAUUUUGGACUUGGGGGUCUGCAGAUUAACCUCUGCUCCUCUUAAAUAAAUUAGCUGGGUCUCUGAGAGGUCGGUUCCACUCGGCGUGAUAAGUAUCACUCGCUGAGGACACUGUAAAAGGUGGCCGGGCUCACUGCAGAUCCGCUUCUAAUGGUCCAUUGAAUUGGACAAAUAAAAUUUAUG